RNAcentral lists this ribosomal RNA (867 nucleotides) under uncultured eukaryote. Its description in RNAcentral is "SSU rRNA". It matches the Rfam family "Eukaryotic small subunit ribosomal RNA", at positions 575 to 1468 of the family's 1831-position model. The record is from RNAcentral.
CGCGGUAAUUCCAGCUCCAAUAGCGUAUAUUAAAGUUGUUGCAGUUAAAAAGCUCGUAGUUGGAUCUCGGGUCCGGGCUCGCGGUCCACCUCGCGGUGGUUACUGCCCGUCCCGACCUACCUACCGGUUUUCCCUUGGUGCUCUUAACUGAGUGUCUCGGGUGGCCGGAACGUUUACUUUGAAAAAAUUAGAGUGUUCAAAGCAGGCGCUUCGCCUGAAUAAUGUUGCAUGGAAUAAUGGAAUAGGACCUCGGUUCUAUUUUGUUGGUUUUCGGAACUCGAGGUAAUGAUUAAGAGGGACAGACGGGGGCAUUCGUAUGAUGGUGUUAGAGGUGAAAUUCUUGGAUCGCCGUCAGACGAACUACUGCGAAAGCAUUUGCCAAGAAUGUUUUCAUUAAUCAAGAACGAAAGUCAGAGGUUCGAAGACGAUCAGAUACCGUCCUAGUUCUGACCAUAAACGAUGCCGACUAGCGAUCCGCCGGAGUUGUUUCAAUGACCCGGCGGGCAGCUUCCGGGAAACCAAAGUCUUUGGGUUCCGGGGGAAGUAUGGUUGCAAAGCUGAAACUUAAAGGAAUUGACGGAAGGGCACCACCAGGAGUGGAGCCUGCGGCUUAAUUUGACUCAACACGGGAAAGCUUACCCGGCCCGGACACCGUAAGGAUUGACAGAUUGAGAGCUCUUUCUUGAUUCGGUGGGUGGUGGUGCAUGGCCGUUCUUAGUUGGUGGAGCGAUUUGUCUGGUUAAUUCCGAUAACGAACGAGACUCUAGCCUAUUAAAUAGUUCGCCGAUUUCGAUCUGUCGGCGUUAACUUCUUAGAGGGACAAGUGGCUUUUAGCCACGCGAGAUUGAGCAAUAACAGGUCUGUGAU